UUGCGGUGCUGCAUUUCGUUGAUGGGAGCCUUGUGGGCGAUAAGCUGCGAUAAGCUUCGGGUAGGCGCACAUAGCCAGUGAUCCGGAGAUUUCCGAAUGAGGGAACUCACAUGGGAAACCCCAUGUACCGUAUAGUGAAUACAUAGCUAUACGGAGGUAAACCUAGGGAACUGAAACAUCUAAGUACCUAGAGGAAGAGAAAGAAAAAUCGAUUUUCUGAGUAGCGGCGAGCGAAAGGGAAAGAGCCCAAACCAGUGACUUGUCACUGGGGUUGCGGACAGAGCAUUAACGAGAAGAUGUUAUUAACCGAACAUAACUGGAAAGUUAGACCGUAGGAGGUAAUAGUCCUGUAGGUGAAAGUAACAUUUAUCAAGCUUUGAUCCAGAGUACCACGAGACACGUGAAACCUUGUGGGAAGCAGGGAGGACCACCUCCCAAGGCUAAAUACUACCUGAUGACCGAUAGUGAAGCAGUACCGUGAGGGAAAGGUGAAAAGAACCCCGGGAGGGGAGUGAAAUAGAACCUGAAACCGUGUGCCUACAACCGGUCAAAGCCCCAUAUGAGGGUGAUGACGUGCUUUUUGUAGAACGAGCCAACGAGUUACGGUAUGUAGCAAGGUUAAGUACUUAAGGUACGGAGCCGAAGGGAAACCGAGUCUUAAUAGGGCGACUAGUUGCAUGCCGUAGACCCGAAACCGGGUGACCUAUCCAUGGCCAGGUUGAAGCGAGGGUAAAACCUCGUGGAGGACCGAACCACGUUGCUGUUGAAAAAGCAUGGGAUGAGCUGUGGAUAGCGGAGAAAUUCCAAUCGAACUCGGAGAUAGCUGGUUCUCCCCGAAAUAGCUUUAGGGCUAGCGUCGGAUAUGUGUAGUGGAGGUAGAGCACUGAAUGGGCUAGGGGGCAUAUCGCUUACCGAACCUUAUCAAACUCCGAAUGCCAUAUACAUUUAGUCCGGCAGUCAGACUACGAAUGAUAAGAUCCGUGGUCAAAAGGGAAACAGCCCAGAUCGUCAGCUAAGGUCCCAAAGUGUAAGUUAAGUGGAAAAGGAUGUGGGAUUUCUAAGACAACUAGGAUGUUGGCUUAGAAGCAGCCACUCAUUUAAAGAGUGCGUAAUAGCUCACUAGUCGAGAGAUCCUGCGCCGAAAAUGUCCGGGGCUAAAACUUACCACCGAAGCUACGGGCUUGCGUAAGCAAGCGGUAGGGGAGCGUCGUAAUCGGGCUGAAGUCGUACCGUAAGGAGCGGUGGACUGAUUACGAGUGAGAAUGUUGGCAUUAGUAGCGAGAUGUAGGUGAGAAUCCUACAGGCCGAAUAUCUAAGGUUUCCUCAGGAAGGCUCGUCCGCUGAGGGUUAGUCGGGACCUAAGCCGAGGCCGAAAGGCGUAGGCGAUGGACAACAGGUUGAUAUUCCUGUACCACUACCAUCGUUAUUAUCGAGGGUGUGACGGAGAAGGAUAGUGUGUGCUAGCGAUUGGAAAUGCUAGUCUAAGCGUUUAGGCAGUUACGGUAGGCAAAUCCGCUGUAAUGUUAAUGCUGAGGCGUGAUGGGGAAGGCCCUUGAGGCUGAAGUACAUGAUUCCAUGCUUCCAAGAAAAGCAUCUAGAGAGAGAAGUAGUGCCCGUACCGCAAACCGACACAGGUAGAUGAGGAGAGAAUCCUAAGGCCGGCGGAAGAAUUGCAGUUAAGGAACUAGGCAAAUUGACCCCGUAAGUUAGCGAGAAGGGGUGCCUGCGAGAGCAGGCCGCAGAGAAUAGGCCCAAGCAACUGUUUAGCAAAAACACAGGUCUCUGCUAAAGCGCAAGCUGAUGUAUAGGGGCUGACGCCUGCCCGGUGCUGGAAGGUUAAGGGGAACACUUAGCGCAAGCGAAGGUGUGAACUUAAGCCCCAGUAAACGGCGGCCGUAACUAUAACGGUCCUAAGGUAGCGAAAUUCCUUGUCAGGUAAGUU
Molecule: ribosomal RNA, 1942 nt
Filed under: human gut metagenome
Description: bacterial LSU rRNA
Rfam family: Bacterial large subunit ribosomal RNA
Source: RNAcentral